RNAcentral lists this small RNA (21 nucleotides) under Arabidopsis thaliana (thale cress). RNAcentral's name for it is "ATSL119350". Lineage: Eukaryota; Viridiplantae; Streptophyta; Magnoliopsida; Brassicales; Brassicaceae. The record is from RNAcentral.
CUUUUUCUCUGUUUUCUCUGU